RNAcentral lists this ribosomal RNA (225 nucleotides) under uncultured bacterium. RNAcentral describes it as "partial 16S ribosomal RNA". It matches the Rfam family "Bacterial small subunit ribosomal RNA", at positions 109 to 334 of the family's 1533-position model. The record is from RNAcentral.
CGUAACGCGUAUACAAUCUACCUUUUGCUACGGGAUAGCCCAGAGAAAUUUGGAUUAAUACCGCAUAGUAUAUAUUUAUGGCAUCAUAUAUAUAUUAAAGAUUCAUCGGUAAGAGAUGAGUAUGCGUUCUAUUAGCUAGUAGGUGCGGUAACGGCGCACCUAGGCUACGAUAGAUAGGGGCCCUGAGAGGGGGAUCCCCCACACUGGUACUGAGACACGGACCAG